This 309-nucleotide ribosomal RNA is filed under the name Bacillus sp. Mermaid Reef. Its description in RNAcentral is "bacterial SSU rRNA". It matches the Rfam family "Bacterial small subunit ribosomal RNA", at positions 371 to 667 of the family's 1533-position model. The record is from RNAcentral. Lineage: Bacteria; Bacillati; Bacillota; Bacilli; Caryophanales; Bacillaceae.
AUGGACGACUAGUCUGGACGGACCAACGCCAGCCGUGAGUGAUGAAGCGUGUCUGCGUCUGUGACGCUCUGUUGUUAGGGACUGAACAAUGUUCCGUUCGAAUAGGCUGGUCCCUCGACGGUGCCUGCCUGGGGCCACGGCUACUACGUGCCAGCAGCCGCGGUAAUACGUAGGUGGCAAGCGUUGUCCGGAAUUAUUGCUUGUAGUGCGCGCGCAGGUGGCUCCUUCAGUCUGAUGUGACAGCCCACGGCUCAGCCGUGGAGGGUCAUUGGAAACUGGGGACUUGAGUGCCUAAGAGCUGAGUGGAAU